GACAGAGGUCCCGAGCGUUAGGCGGAAUCACUGGGCUUAAAGCGUGUGUAGGCGGAUCGUUAAGUGCCUUGUGAAAUCCCACGGCUUAACCGUGGAACUGCUUGGCAUACUGGCGGUCUUGAGCCACUUAGGGGCAACCGGAACAAAUGGUGGAGCGGCGAAAUGCGUAGAUAUCAUUUGGAACGCCAAUGGUGAAAACAGGUUGCUGGGAGUGUGCUGACGCUGAGACACGAAAGCCAGGGGAGCGAGCGGG
Molecule: ribosomal RNA, 253 nt
Filed under: uncultured bacterium
Lineage: Bacteria
Description: partial 16S ribosomal RNA
Rfam family: Bacterial small subunit ribosomal RNA
Source: RNAcentral